AUUGAACGCUGGCGGCAUGCCUUACACAUGCAAGUCGAACGGCAGCACGGGAGCAAUCCUGGUGGCGAGUGGCGAACGGGUGAGUAAUAUAUCGGAACGUGCCCGGUCGUGGGGAUAACGUAGCGAAAGCUACGCUAAUACCGCAUACGAUCUACGGAUGAAAGCGGGGGAUCGCAAGACCUCGCGCGAUUGGAGCGGCCGAUAUCAGAUUAGGUAGUUGGUGAGGUAAAGGCUCACCAAGCCGACGAUCUGUAGCUGGUCUGAGAGGACGACCAGCCACACUGGGACUGAGACACGGCCCAGACUCCUACGGGAGGCAGCAGUGGGGAAUUUUGGACAAUGGCGCAAGCCUGAUCCAGCAAUGCCGCGUGCAGGA
RNAcentral lists this ribosomal RNA (376 nucleotides) under uncultured bacterium. Its description in RNAcentral is "bacterial SSU rRNA". It matches the Rfam family "Bacterial small subunit ribosomal RNA", at positions 30 to 408 of the family's 1533-position model. The record is from RNAcentral.